RNAcentral lists this ribosomal RNA (880 nucleotides) under Amanita multicingulata. Its description in RNAcentral is "Amanita sp. QC-2023b partial large subunit ribosomal RNA". It matches the Rfam family "Eukaryotic large subunit ribosomal RNA", at positions 80 to 927 of the family's 3401-position model. Lineage: Eukaryota; Fungi; Basidiomycota; Agaricomycetes; Agaricales; Amanitaceae. The record is from RNAcentral.
CUAGUAACUGCGAGUGAAGCGGGAAAAGCUCAAAUUUGAAAUCUGGCAGUCUUUUUUUUCUUCUUUGGCUGUCCGAGUUGUAAUCUAGAGAAGUGCUUACCUGCACUGGACCAUGUAUAAGUCUCCUGGAAUGGAGCGUCGCAGAGGGUGAGAAUCCCGUCUUUGACAUGGACUGCCAGUGUGUUGUGGUGUGCUCUCAAAGAGUCGAGUUGUUUGGGAAUGCAGCUCUAAAUGGGUGGUAAACUCCAUCUAAAGCUAAAUAUUGGCGAGAGACCGAUAGCGAACAAGUACCGUGAGGGAAAGAUGAAAAGGACUUUGGAAAGAGAGUUAAACAGUAUGUGAAAUUGUUGAAAGGGAAACGCUUGAAGUCAGUUAUGUCGGCUAGGGAUCAACCUAGCUGUCUUUGCUGGGUGAAUUUCCUAGUCUGGCAGGCCAACAUCAGUCUUGACUGCUGGAAAAGAGCGGAGGGAAUGUGGCACCUUUGGGUGUGUUAUAGCCCUUUGUCAUGUGUGCCAGUCGGGACUGAGGGAUGCAGCGUGCCGUGAGGCUGGGUUUCGACCAUGUUCACGCUUAGGAUGUUGGCUUUUAAUGGCUUCAAUCGACCCGUCUUGAAACACGGACCAAGGAGUCUAACAUGCCUGCGAGUGUUUGGGUGGAAAACCCUUGUGCACAAUGAAAGUGAAAGUUGAGAUCCCUGUCAUGGGGAGCAUCGACGCCCGGACUUGAGCUUUUAGCGAUGGAUCCGCGGUAGAGCAUGCAUGUUGGGACCCGAAAGAUGGUGAACUAUGCCUGAAUAGGGCAAAGCCAGAGGAAACUCUGGUGGAGGCUCGUAGCGAUUCUGACGUGCAAAUCGAUCGUCAAAUUUGGGUAUAGGGGCGAA